UACGAAGGGGGCUAGCGUUGCUCGGAAUCACUGGGCGUAAAGCGCACGUAGGCGGAUUGUUAAGUCAGGGGUGAAAUCCUGGAGCUCAACUCCAGAACUGCCUUUGAUACUGGCGAUCUUGAGUCCGGGAGAGGUGAGUGGAACUGCGAGUGUAGAGGUGAAAUUCGUAGAUACUCGCAAGAACACCAGUGGCGAAGGCGGCUCACUGGCCCGGUACUGACGCUGAGGUGCGAAAGCGUGGGGAGCAAACAGG
Molecule: ribosomal RNA, 253 nt
Filed under: uncultured bacterium
Lineage: Bacteria
Description: partial 16S ribosomal RNA
Rfam family: Bacterial small subunit ribosomal RNA
Source: RNAcentral